AUUUGUGUCUGCAAUUAAUUAUCUGUUUUGAUUAUGGGGUUAAUUUUCUUAAUCCUACGUUUUGAUUAUGGUUUUAGUUUGGAGAUUGGUGUUCUGAUUAGGGUUCCUAAAGGUGGAAAUUUGGUUGAGGGGUUUCUUCUGUUGUAGUUCAAGAAAUUCCAGGUAUUGAAAUUCCAUUUGAAAAUUCCGGAGCAUUCGACACUGACUAGCAAGUGUGAGUGGUCUGCCGUCAAAUUGCAGGUACAUUAAUGUUCUUGUGUUCUAAUAUAUGUUCAAGAUUCAAUGAGCUUGAGGUUGGGGCAUUUGAGAUGACUUACCUUGUGCCGGAUCAUCCUCCAUGUGUACUAGAGACCGACUUAGAUGUGCGUGUAAUGUAUCUGUCCGUGAUGAAUGAGAAGAAAUAUACAGUUACAAUUGCUAUUAAGGAGUUUUUAUUUCCUGAGAAGCAAAACGGUGUUGAUGAUAUGUUUUGUGGUGAUGGUAAUACGCAUAAUUGGGAAAUAUGCAGCACCUUCUGGUCAUACAUACUUGUCUCAUUCUUGGAAGAACUACAUCAAUUAUGUGGGUCAGAAUAGUGAUUGUUGUACAUGAUCCUGUUUUUGUUUUUGUUUUUUUUUUUUUUAUACUUCUGUAUAGUGAUUGUUAGUUGGAUGGUUAAA
Prunus dulcis (almond) is the source of this 659-nucleotide long non-coding RNA. RefSeq lists it as uncharacterized. The transcript is spliced from 2 exons. The record is from RefSeq and is a predicted model, not a curated record. Lineage: Eukaryota; Viridiplantae; Streptophyta; Magnoliopsida; Rosales; Rosaceae.